GUGUUGUAUGAAAGGAGAGAAGGUUAGCACUCCCCUUGACAAGGAUGGAAGAGGCUUUGAACUGCAACAUACAUUUGGCCAAGGCACUGCCACCUACUUUGUUUGCAAUGAAAGAAUCUACUUUUUUUU
Small nuclear RNA from Sorex fumeus (smoky shrew), 129 nucleotides. Lineage: Eukaryota; Metazoa; Chordata; Mammalia; Eulipotyphla; Soricidae. The record is from RefSeq and is a predicted model, not a curated record.